This 404-nucleotide ribosomal RNA is filed under the name uncultured prokaryote. RNAcentral's name for it is "bacterial SSU rRNA". It matches the Rfam family "Bacterial small subunit ribosomal RNA", at positions 355 to 776 of the family's 1533-position model. The record is from RNAcentral. RNAcentral also lists the same sequence under 1 other name.
UGGGGAAUAUUGGACAAUGGGCGCAAGCCUGAUCCAGCCAUGCCGCGUGAGUGAUGACGGCCUUAGGGUUGUAAAGCUCUUUCGGCGGGGACGAUAAUGACGGUACCCGCAGAAGAAGCCCCGGCUAACUUCGUGCCAGCAGCCGCGGUAAUACGAAGGGGGCUAGCGUUGUUCGGAAUCACUGGGCGUAAAGGGCGCGUAGGCGGCUUUGUAAGUCGGGGGUGAAAGCCUGUGGCUCAACCACAGAAUUGCCUUCGAUACUGCGAGGCUUGAGACCGGAAGAGGUUAGUGGAACUGCGAGUGUAGAGGUGAAAUUCGUAGAUAUUCGCAAGAACACCAGUGGCGAAGGCGGCUGACUGGUCCGGAUCUGACGCUGAGGCGCGAAAGCGUGGGGAGCAAACAGG